This 676-nucleotide ribosomal RNA is filed under the name Salacia alwynii. RNAcentral describes it as "eukaryotic LSU rRNA". The stretch from base 288 to 443 matches the Rfam family "5.8S ribosomal RNA". Lineage: Eukaryota; Viridiplantae; Streptophyta; Magnoliopsida; Celastrales; Celastraceae. The record is from RNAcentral.
UUUCCGUAGGUGAACCUGCGGAAGGAUCAUUGUCGAAACCUACAAGGCAGAACGACCCGUGAACCGUUUGGAACUUCACUCGAGGGGAGGGUCGUCGUGCCCAUCGCUCGCUCUCGUUGCCCCGGGGCUAGGGUUGCGGGUCAAGCCUGCACCCCCUUGUCUUGGGUGCAUACAACAAACCCCGGCGCAAAUCGCGUCAAGGAAGAAAGAAAAGAAAGAAAGGCGUGCUCCCUUGGUCCCGGAGAUGGUGCACCGGGGGAUUGCAUCGUCGUUAUCUUAAUCGGAACGACUCUCGGCAACGGAUAUCUCGGCUCUCGCAUCGAUGAAGAACGUAGCGAAAUGCGAUACUUGGUGUGAAUUGCAGAAUCCCGUGAACCAUCGAGUUUUUGAACGCAAGUUGCGCCCGAAGCCAUGAGGCCGAGGGCACGCCUGCCUGGGUGUCACGAAAUGUCGCCAAACAUCCCUUCACMCCCUUUGUAAAGGGAAGCAUUGAGGGUUGGCGGAUAUUGGCCUCCCGCGGGCAAUACCUCGCGGUUGGCCUAAAAGAGAGUCCCUCGGUGAGGCGGCCACGACGUCCGGUGGUUGAAAGCGCAUGCUCUUCUCGAACACCGUCGUGGGCGAUCCUCGUCGGAGGGGAAGCCAGAGGCCCCGACGCAAAGCGUCUCUCGCACAGCGA